This is a long non-coding RNA of Herpailurus yagouaroundi (jaguarundi), 593 nucleotides long. RefSeq lists it as uncharacterized. The record is from RefSeq and is a predicted model, not a curated record. The transcript is spliced from 2 exons. NCBI's taxonomy places the organism in Eukaryota, Metazoa, Chordata, Mammalia, Carnivora, Felidae.
AACUCCUCCUCCCAUCUAUAAGUUCCCACACCAUGGAAACUUUGCAUUAGUGCAACAAAGGCCGGUUCACCACACCCUGAAAUCUCACACCCCCCUCCCUUUCUUCUUGCUGAGGUAACCACACACUGUACCCACAGCGGGGAGGCAGCUCAGCAGAGGUCAUCGUGCCCUCAGUUAUCCAGCUUGAGUCCUUGUCUGAAAGCUACUGGGAAUAAGAAGGACGGUACCAUCUCAGUGGGACAGCUUUGAAGACAUACUUGCCUGAGGCUGUGAUGGAAUCAUACCUGUCUACAGUUUCACUGCUUUAUGGCCUAGCAGGAAGAACCAGGGGGGAAGUUUGGACAUACUGACAGAUGCGCAAAGAGGGAAGAAGAUGUGAAAGCACACAGGGAGAAGACAGUCAUGUGACUGCAGUGAUGACAUUUAGAAACCAAUGGAUGCCAAGGAUUGCUGGCAAACACCAGAAGCUAGAAGAGGCAAGGAAACAUUCUCCCCUCGAAACAUCCGAGAAAACACAGCCUUGCUAAUAACCCCUUGAUCUAGGACUUCUGGCCUCCAGAACCAUGUGACAAUAAAUUUGUUUAAAAAUUUUU